This 511-nucleotide ribosomal RNA is filed under the name uncultured bacterium. Its description in RNAcentral is "bacterial SSU rRNA". It matches the Rfam family "Bacterial small subunit ribosomal RNA", at positions 791 to 1301 of the family's 1533-position model. The record is from RNAcentral.
UAGUCCACGCCGUAAACGAUGUCAACUAGCCGUCUGUUUCCUAGAGAAGUGGGUGGCGUAGCUAACGCGCUAAGUUGACCGCCUGGGGAGUACGGCCGCAAGGUUAAAACUCAAAUGAAUUGACGGGGGCCCGCACAAGCGGUGGAGCAUGUGGUUUAAUUCGAUGCAACGCGAAGAACCUUACCAUCCCUUGACAUCCAGAGAAUUAAUCAGAGAUGAUUUUGUGCCUUCGGGAACUCUGAGACAGGUGCUGCAUGGCUGUCGUCAGCUCGUGUUGUGAAAUGUUGGGUUAAGUCCCGCAACGAGCGCAACCCUUAUCCUUAUUUGCCAGCGAGUUAUGUCGGGAACUUUAAGGAGACUGCCGGUGAUAAACCGGAGGAAGGUGGGGACGACGUCAAGUCAUCAUGGCCCUUACGGGAUGGGCUACACACGUGCUACAAUGGCGUAUACAGAGGGCAGCAAGACCGCGAGGUGGAGCGAAUCCCAGAAAGUACGUCGUAGUCCGGAUUGG